This 459-nucleotide ribosomal RNA is filed under the name uncultured bacterium. RNAcentral describes it as "partial 16S ribosomal RNA". It matches the Rfam family "Bacterial small subunit ribosomal RNA", at positions 338 to 795 of the family's 1533-position model. The record is from RNAcentral.
CCUACGGGGGGCAGCAGUGAGGAAUAUUGGUCAAUGGGCGCGAGCCUGAACCAGCCAAGUCGCGUGAGGGAAGACGGUCCUAUGGAUUGUAAACCUCUUUUGUCGGGGAGCAAAAGACGCCACGCGUGGCGUUCCGAGAGUACCCGAAGAAAAAGCAUCGGAGAACUCCGUGCCAGCAGCCGCGGUAAUACGGAGGAUGCGAGCGUUAUCCGGAUCUAUGGGGUUUAGCGGGUGCGCAGGCGGAAGAUAAAGUCAGCGGUAAAAGUGAGGGGCUCACCCUGUUCGAGCCUUUGAAACUGGUUUGCUAGAGUGCUCUAGGAGUAGGCGGAAUGCGAGGUGUAGCGGUGAAAUGCAUAGAUAUGACGAAGAAUUCCGAUUGCGAAGGCAGCAUACCGGCGCUCAACUGACGCUCAUGCGCGAAAGUGUGGGUAUCGAACAGGAUUAGAUACCCCAGUAGUC